UGGGGGAUAUUGCACAAUGAGCGAAAGCCUGAUGCAGCGACGCCGCGUGGGGGAUGAAGGCCUUCGGGUUGUAAACUUCUUUUGCUCUGAACAAGGCAUGCUAAUGGGUGUGUUGAGUGUAGGGGUUGAUUAGCGCCGGCUAACUACGUGCCAGCAGCCGCGGUAAUACGUAGGGCGCGAGCGUUGUCCGGAAUUAUUGGGCGUAAAGGGCUUGUAGGUGGCUGGUUGCGUCUGUCGUGAAAGCUCAUGGCUUAACUGUGGGUUUGCGGGGGGUACGGACUGGCUUGAGUGCAGUAGGGGAGGCUGGACUUCCUGGUGUAGCGGUGGAAUGCGCAGAUAUCAGGAGGAAUACCGGUGGCGAGGGCGGGUCUCUGGGCUGUUACUGACACUGAGGAGCGAAAGCAUGGGGAGCGAACAGG
This 419-nucleotide ribosomal RNA is filed under the name bacterium. RNAcentral's name for it is "partial 16S ribosomal RNA". It matches the Rfam family "Bacterial small subunit ribosomal RNA", at positions 355 to 776 of the family's 1533-position model. The record is from RNAcentral.